GAGGAUUUGGCUCAGUGGUAGAGCGCUUGCCUAGCAAGCACAAGGCCCUGGGUUCGGUCCCCAGCUCC
Rattus norvegicus (Norway rat) is the source of this 68-nucleotide non-coding RNA. NCBI's taxonomy places the organism in Eukaryota, Metazoa, Chordata, Mammalia, Rodentia, Muridae. The record is from Rfam.